Molecule: ribosomal RNA, 693 nt
Filed under: uncultured bacterium
Lineage: Bacteria
Description: bacterial SSU rRNA
Rfam family: Bacterial small subunit ribosomal RNA
Source: RNAcentral
AACGCUAGCUACAGGCUUAACACAUGCAAGUCGAGGGGCAGCAUCAUCAAAGCUUGCUUUGAUGGAUGGCGACCGGCGCACGAGUGAGUAACACGUAUCCAACCUGCCGACAACACUGGGAUAGCCUUUCGAAAGAAAGAUUAAUACCGGAUGGCAUAGUUUUCCCGCAUGGGAUAAUUAUUAAAGAAUUUCGGUUGUCGAUGGGGAUGCGUUCCAUUAGGCAGUUGGCGGGGUAACGGCCCACCAAACCUACGAUGGAUAGGGGUUCUGAGAGGAGGGUCCCCCACAUUGGAACUGAGACACGGUCCAAACUCCUACGGGAGGCAGCAGUGAGGAAUAUUGGUCAAUGGACGAGAGUCUGAACCAGCCAAGUAGCGUGAAGGAUGACUGCCCUAUGGGUUGUAAACUUCUUUUAUAUGGGAAUAAAGUGAGCCACGUGUGGCUUUUUGUAUGUACCAUACGAAUAAGGAUCGGCUAACUCCGUGCCAGCAGCCGCGGUAAUACGGAGGAUCCGAGCGUUAUCCGGAUUUAUUGGGUUUAAAGGGAGCGUAGGCGGACUAUUAAGUCAGCUGUGAAAGUUUGCGGCUCAACCGUAAAAUUGCAGUUGAUACUGGUCGUCUUGAGUGCAGUAGAGGUAGGCGGAAUUCGUGGUGUAGCGGUGAAAUGCUUAGAUAUCACGAAGAACUCCGAUUG